This 256-nucleotide ribosomal RNA is filed under the name uncultured bacterium. RNAcentral's name for it is "partial 16S ribosomal RNA". It matches the Rfam family "Bacterial small subunit ribosomal RNA", at positions 524 to 776 of the family's 1533-position model. The record is from RNAcentral.
GACGUAGGUGGCGAACGUUAUCCGGAAUUAUUGGGCGUAAAGGGUGCGUAGGCGGCAUAAUAAGUUAUUGGCGGGAAAUCGAGGCUCAACCUCGUGGAAACUGAUAAUACUGUUUUGCUUGAGUACAGGAGAGGUUAACGGAACUCCAUGUGGAGCGGUAAAAUGUGUAGAUAUAUGGAAGAACAUCAAUAACGGCGAAGGCAGUUAACUAUUCUGCUACUGACGUUGAGGCACGAAAGCGUGGGGAGCAAAAAGG